This 444-nucleotide ribosomal RNA is filed under the name uncultured Deinococcota bacterium. RNAcentral describes it as "bacterial SSU rRNA". It matches the Rfam family "Bacterial small subunit ribosomal RNA", at positions 938 to 1382 of the family's 1533-position model. Lineage: Bacteria; Thermotogati; Deinococcota. The record is from RNAcentral.
CAUGUGGUUUAAUUCGAUGCAACGCGAAGAACUUACCAGGGCUUGACAUCCGGGAACCUGCUGAAAGGGUGGGGUGCCCGCAAGGGAGUCCCGGAGACAGGUGGUGCAUGGCUGUCGUCAGCUCGUGUCGUGAGAUGUUGGAUUAAGUUCCGCAACGAGCGCAACCCUCGUUGCCUGUUGCCAGCACGUGAUGGUGGGCACUCAGGCGAGACUGCCGCAGCAAUGUGGAGGAAGGUGGGGAUGACGUCAAGUCAGCAUGCCCGUACGCCCUGGGCUACACACAUACUACAAUGCGAGGAGCAAACAGUUGCGAACCCGCGAGGGGGAGCUAAUCUGAGAAGGCCUCGCUCAGUGCAGAUUGCAGGCUGCAACUCGCCUGCAUGAAGGCGGAAUCGCUAGUAACCGUCGGUCAGCAUUACGACGGUGAAUACGUUCCCGGGCCUU